AACGAACGCUGGCGGCGUGGAUAAGACAUGCAAGUCGAACGAUGACUUGGGAGUAGCAAUAUUUCCAAGUCGCAGUGGCGAAAGGGUGCGUAACACGUGGGCAAUCUGCCGUGAAGUUGGGAAUAACUCGCCGAAAGGCGAGCUAAUGCCGAAUGUGGCUGCAAUCAGGCAUCUGGAUGCAGCUAAAGCUGGGACCGUAAGGCCUGGCGCUUCAUGAUGAGCCCGCGGCCUAUCAGCUUGUUGGUGAGGUAACGGCUCACCAAGGCUAAGACGGGUAGCUGGUCUGAGAGGACGACCAGCCACACUGGAACUGAGACACGGUCCAGACACCUACGGGUGCAGCAGUCGAGAAUCUUUCUCAAUGGGCGAAAGCCUGAAGGAGCGACGCCGCGUGGGGA
This 398-nucleotide ribosomal RNA is filed under the name uncultured bacterium. RNAcentral's name for it is "bacterial SSU rRNA". It matches the Rfam family "Bacterial small subunit ribosomal RNA", at positions 29 to 407 of the family's 1533-position model. The record is from RNAcentral.